UACGGGGGGGGCAAGCGUUGUUCGGAAUUACUGGGCGUAAAGGGCUCGUAGGCGGCCAACUAAGUCAUACGUGAAAUCCCUCGGCUUAACCGGGGAACUGCGUCUGAUACUGGAUGGCUUGAGUUCGGGAGAGGGAUGCGGAAUUCCAGGUGUAGCGGUGAAAUGCUUAGAUAUGACAUAGAACACCGAUUGCGAAGGCAGCUUGCUAAACGAUUAUUGACGCUGAGGCACGAAAGCGUGGGGAUCAAACAGG
This 253-nucleotide ribosomal RNA is filed under the name uncultured bacterium. Its description in RNAcentral is "partial 16S ribosomal RNA". It matches the Rfam family "Bacterial small subunit ribosomal RNA", at positions 524 to 776 of the family's 1533-position model. The record is from RNAcentral.